AGUGAACGCUGGUGGCGUGCUUAACACAUGCAAGUCGAACGAGAACGGAUUAUAGCUUGCUAUAAUUGUCAGCUAAGUGGCGCACGGGUGAGUAAUGUAUAGGUAAUAUGCCUCUUACUAAGGGAUAACAAAUGGAAACGUUUGCUAAUACCUUAUACUCCUUAUUAACAGAAGUUAAUAAGGGAAAGAUUUAUUGGUAAGAGAUUAGCCUGUAUUGUAUCAGUUAGUUGGUGGGGUAAUGGCUUACCAAGACUAUGACACAUAACUGGUUUGAGAGGAUGAUCAGUCACACUGGAACUGAGACACGGUCCGGACUCCUACGGGAGGCAGCAGUGGGGAAUAUUGCACAAUGGACGAAAGUCUGAUGCAGCAACGCCGCGUGGAGGAUGACACAUUUCGGUGCGUAAACUCCUUUUAUAUGAGAAGAUAAUGACGGUAUUAUAUGAAUAAGCACCGGCUAACUCCGUGCCAGCAGCCGCCGUAA
This 484-nucleotide ribosomal RNA is filed under the name uncultured bacterium. RNAcentral describes it as "partial 16S ribosomal RNA". It matches the Rfam family "Bacterial small subunit ribosomal RNA", at positions 29 to 523 of the family's 1533-position model. The record is from RNAcentral.